Molecule: ribosomal RNA, 610 nt
Filed under: Hymenochaete rhabarbarina
Lineage: Eukaryota; Fungi; Basidiomycota; Agaricomycetes; Hymenochaetales; Hymenochaetaceae
Description: SSU rRNA
Rfam family: Bacterial small subunit ribosomal RNA
Source: RNAcentral
CCCAGAGUGACUAGCUACUGAAUCUUUGAUGUGUCAUUAAAGAUAACGUAAAGAAUAAUAAUGAUAUUACUUUACUAUUAGUGUCGUCCAAAUACUCGUGCCAGAAGACUCGGUAAGGCGAGAGACGCAAACGUUAUUCGUCAUGAUCAGGCGUAAAGGGUGUGUAGGCUGUUUUAAGUAUUUAUACCAAGUUUACUAUUAUAAAUUUAAACAAAUUAGUUUUGCUUUGGUUUUACUGAAUAUCUUUAAAAUUAAAGCAUUUACAGCUGUUUUAAAUAUAAUAUUGGUAUAAGUCAAUUAAAUCUAGAAUCUAACAGGGGUUAAAACAAUACUUAAGGUAGGAGUACUAACCGUAAAUAUUAAGUAGAGUGCUAAAGGCGAAGGCAUUUAUCCACUAAAGAUUGACGCUGAGAAACGAAAGUGAGGGCAGAAAAAAGGAUUAGAGACCCUUGUAUUCCUCACUGUCAACGAUGAAUGGUAGUUACUAGUUAGAAAUUAGCUAGAUACAAUGUUAACACGAAAACCAUUCCGCCUUGUGAGUACAACUGCAAAGUUGAAAACAAAAAAAUUAGUCGGUUUCGGAGCAAACGAAGUGAAGCAUGUUAUUUAC